RNAcentral lists this long non-coding RNA (203 nucleotides) under Elaeis guineensis (African oil palm). Its description in RNAcentral is "long non-coding RNA (EGUI_LNC056070)". The record is from RNAcentral. Lineage: Eukaryota; Viridiplantae; Streptophyta; Magnoliopsida; Arecales; Arecaceae.
AACUUCUGUUGGACCUCUGAGUGCCAACGGGCGUUCGAAGAACUGAGGAGCUACCUCGGCUCACCCCCGCUGCUGGCAAGGCCGGAGCCUAGGGAGGAACUGUUUUAUACCUGGAGGUCUCUCCUAUGGCUCUCACGGCAGUCCUUGUCAAAGAAGAAGCAAAAGUCCAACGGCCAAUCUACUACGUCAGUCCUAAGAGACCC